Molecule: long non-coding RNA, 868 nt
Filed under: Panax ginseng (ginseng)
Lineage: Eukaryota; Viridiplantae; Streptophyta; Magnoliopsida; Apiales; Araliaceae
Description: long non-coding RNA (PGIN_LNC004077)
Source: RNAcentral
CAAAGGAUCAAAAUCAAGAAAUCAAAGCUAGAAAAGGUAAAAACCCUAAAUUCUAGAAAUCCUUCGAUUCGAUGUUAAUUGGUGCAAUUGAUUGUUUAAAGUUGUGUAAUAGGGAGUCUAUUAAUGUUCUGGGAUGUUUAAUUCAGGACCCAUAACAUCAAAGUGCUCAAAAUCAAAAUUUUUCCAACUUUUGUAAAACCGAAUUCUGUUAUUUUUGAGCAAAUGUCAAGCCUUAUAUCUCUGUGCUUAUUUACUGUUUUUGGUGUUUGUAAGAUGUUAUGUGUAUCUUCUUAUGAGGUCUUUAAGAUGAAAAAAUAAUCAAGGCCAUAUCUAUUAUAUAUCACACGAUAUAAACGGUCAAAACCCCAUUGACCAAAACUGCCAAAAUCGCGAAUCCAGAAAUUUUGUGCACAAUUUCCGUGGUGCACUUUGACUGGAGAUUUUUGGUUAGAUCUGAUGGUAUUAUGUUGAUAUUAAGGUUUGAUGUUGUAGUCCUACAUGUUGUAUACACACUGGAAGUGAUAGAACACAAAAUUGUUACACGAUCACCAAGUUAUAGAGGUCCAAAGUAGGCACCUCGAAGCUGUUUUUCGUGAAGAACAGCUUUGGCAACUACUUUGAGGUUCGAUUUCUCCCAUAUCUGAUGUUGUUUAGAGGUCAUGUUUGUUGGAUCUUGUAGUCUUGUAUUUCCUCUACCAGACCCAAUUUAUAGAUUGUCCAAAUUCGUUAAGAUGAGAGAGUUACUCACGGUCAAAGUAGCCCACUCGGUUCUGCCUUAUGAAGAUCUGGGUAGGCUCAAGAACACCUAUAGCGACGGUUCUGUCACUAUAGGGGCCUUUAGCGACAGUUUUAAUUAUUUUAAUUUCUG